AUGCCGUCGCCGCGCGCAGCGCUUCGCCGUCUUCUCCCCACCACCGGCAUCCAACCUAUCCGGCGCCGCCCCGCACCGCCUCCACCAGCCGACCAGAGCCCCCUACCCGACCCCUACGCUCUCCUCGUCCACGACCCCAUCGACCUCCUCUCCUCGCUGUGGCGCCGCGCCUUCGCUCACCCGCCGUCCACCCCUUUCCCCAACCUCUCCGGCUACGCCUCCCGCCUCGACCUCUGGCUCCUCUCCUACCAGCGCGCCUGCGCCCACGCCACUGGCUCCUUCCCGCCGCGCCAGGCCCCCCGAUUCUCCCCCAAGUCCCACGCCUUCCGCCCUGGACGCGGGCCCCACACCGCCAUCCGCUCUGUUCGCUCCGGCUUCGCCGGUUACCUCUGGUUCAUCACUGCAGACCUCACAACCGUGGUCGACGCCUUAUCGUCAGACACCAUUCUGUCCUGUGUGGAGAAGGCCGUCUCUGAUCGCAAGGUGCUGUCUUUGCUCAAGUCGGCGCUCAACGCCCCCGUCCGGCCCGGGUCUGUGCCGCCAAGGGAGAAGGAUCUCGAUGGACUAACCAAGAAGAGGCUGAAAAGGAAGGUGCUCAGGAAGAGCAGGAAGAAGAAGGUGCUUAAUGAGGAUGAGCCCAAGCCAGACCCAUAUUGGCUGAGACUGUUCUUUGGGUUCGCCCCAGAACAGGCGUGUCACAUUCCGGAAUAUGGGCAUUGCGGGAUAAUUAGUCCAUUGCUCGCCAAUGUGUGCCUUAACGAGUUGGAUUGGUGGAUGGAGGAGAGGAUUAACGAGUACUUCCGCCCAUCAAGGCAUGAUUCGAUAUGGAAGGAGGCGGGCGAUGAAGGAUGCCAUAAUCCAUCUUGGCCUGAGUUUGUUCCGUCAAGUGGGAGGGAGAAGACCAGGAAAAUGGAUUUCCUUAGAUUUGGCUCUCAUGUCUUGAUUGGAGUCCGGGGGCCGAGAGAGGACGUGGUUGAGAUAAGGAGGCAACUAAUGGAGUUUUGUGAGAGAACAUUUGGUUUGAGGCCAGAGAAUUCGUCUGUGGAGAUUGAGCACAUCACAAGGGGGAUUGAAUUCUUGGAUCAUGUCAUUGCUCGCCGGGUCAUCUACCCAACCUUGCGAUACACUGCCAGUGGAGGGAACAUUGUGAGUGAGAAAGGUAUUGGAACAUUGUUAUCUGUCACAGCAAGCUUGCAGAGGUGCAUAAGGCAUUUCAGGAAGCUUGAGCUUGUAAAGGGGGACAGGGAUCCUGAGCCACUGCCAUGUUCACCAAUGCUGUACUCUGGGCAGGCGCACACUAAUUCUCAGAUGAACAAAUUUCUUGAGACCAUGGCUGAUUGGUAUAGGUAUGCGGACAACCGGAAGAAGAUUGUAGGGUUCUGCGGAUAUGUUAUACGGAGCUCUUUGGCAAAGCUUUAUGCGGCAAGGUAUAGACUAAAAUCCCGUGCUAAGGUUUACAAGAUUGCAUCGCGUGAUCUCAGCUGCCCGUUGAGGGAGAGCACAAACAAUGAUGCACCAGAAUACUCUGAUCUCUUGAGGAUGGGGGUUGUUGAUAUUAUUGAGGGUGUACAAUUUGCGCGCAUGUCAUCAAUUCCAUCAUGUGAUUAUACAACUUUCCCUAGGAACUGGGUACCUCACCAUGAGCUUGUAUUGCAUGAGUAUAUCAAACUGCAAGAUCCAAAGUUCUUCUGCGAACUUCACAAGACAAUCAAACGACGGGAGAUAAGUUCACCACAGGAUGAUGUAUCGAAGAUGGUGUGGCAUUAUAAGGUUCAUGGUGUUUAUGAUAACAACAAGGUCUCAAAGAAAUUAAAUGAAUGGAGGAGUAAUGGUGAAGCUGUCAAUGGGGACACACAACUUCUGUUGGAUAAGUAG
This 1875-nucleotide ribosomal RNA is filed under the name Triticum aestivum (bread wheat). RNAcentral describes it as "partial small subunit ribosomal RNA". The record is from RNAcentral. Lineage: Eukaryota; Viridiplantae; Streptophyta; Magnoliopsida; Poales; Poaceae.